GAUGAAGAACGUAGCGAAAUGCGAUAAGUAAUGUGAAUUGCAGAAUUCAGUGAAUCAUCGAAUCUUUGAACGCACCUUGCGCCCUUUGGCCAUUCCGAAGGGCAUGCCUGUUUGAGUAUCAUGAACACCUCAACUCUCAUGGCUCGCCAUGAUGAGCUUGGACUUUGGGGGUCUUGCUGGCCUGUGGUCGGCUCCUCUCAAAUGGAUCAGCUUGCCAGUGUUUGGUGGCAUCACAGGUGUGAUAACUAUCUGCGCUUGUGGUUUUCCAUCAGAUAACCUUCAGUGAUGGAGGUUCGCUGGAGCUCAUAAACGUCUCCCCUAAGCGGGGACAGCCCUUUGAAUAUUUGAUCUCAAAUCAGGUAGGACUACCCGCUGAACUUAAGCAUAUCAAUAAGCGGAGGA
RNAcentral lists this unclassified non-coding RNA (402 nucleotides) under soil metagenome. Its description in RNAcentral is "partial contains 5.8S ribosomal RNA, internal transcribed spacer 2, and large subunit ribosomal RNA". The stretch from base 1 to 121 matches the Rfam family "5.8S ribosomal RNA", at positions 35 to 154 of the family's 154-position model. The record is from RNAcentral.